CCCUGGUACCGGCUUUUAUCAAAGAUAGACCAGAUCUUUGAUAGACCAGGGUGCAUUUAUUUUCUCUUCUUUUCCCUUUUACCCAAUAAUAAGCUUUUUUCAUCCAAGAUGGGGGGGGGGGGGGGGGUGGAAAUAGGCAGGGAGCAGGGAGGAGGGCUGACAUAUACAGCCCAUGGAGAGCUUUGAGAGGAACGCGAUUCCCAAAGCUGUAAUUACUGCCUGCGUUUUUUUGGCUACAGAUCUGCUGCUAAAUUGGUUGGAAGGCACGGAAAUGGCAGUUACACCUUUCAGCAGGAAAAAAAUGUGCUUUGGUGGAGAAACGUGCCAUGGGAAACCCUCCCCAAAUCUGCAAUCCCAUCUAGCACCCCAGCCUUACAGAGCCCUCCAGGAACUGGAAAAUCCAGAUUUGCUGCAUCUCCCAGGGAGACGAUUUCCUACGUGCCCCCCCAGCACAAGGGUCCUACUGAAGGUUAAACUUGUGAGUGCCCCUGGUUUUGCACUGAUUUAAUCUUCCCCCCCCUAAAUAAAAGACAUGGGAAAUGCUGGUGAAAACUGCACCCAUGCUGCUGACUGGUCCCUGGCUCAGUCCUGUCCCAGAGCCAGGUGUUAAACGCUCGUCCCCACAUCAUGCCCUGGCCUGCUGCAGCUUCCCCGCCUGAAAGCAAGCCUCAUUGGAACGGCAUCUGAAUCCGUGUCACAUCGCAAAGCCUGCAUCAGCGCUCAGUCUUGCUUCCUCCUACCUGCCAGCAAGGUGCAAUCGAUAAAUCCUCUCUCAGUGGU
This is a long non-coding RNA of Pezoporus flaviventris, 780 nucleotides long. RefSeq lists it as uncharacterized. NCBI's taxonomy places the organism in Eukaryota, Metazoa, Chordata, Aves, Psittaciformes, Psittacidae. The record is from RefSeq and is a predicted model, not a curated record. The transcript has 3 exons.